GACGAACGCUGGCGGCGUGCUUAACACAUGCAAGUCGAACGGAAAGGCCUGCUUUCCCUUGUGGAUUGCGGGUACUCGAGUGGCGAACGGGUGAGUAACACGUGAGUGAUCUGCCCCCAACUUGGGUAUAAGCCGGGGAAACUGGGCCUAAUUCCCGAUAGGACUGCAGGGUGGUGCCUGUGGUGGAAAACGUUUUUCUGGUGGUUGGGGUUGAGCUCGCGGCCUAUCAGCUUGUUGGUGGGGUAAUGGCCUACCAAGGCGGCGACGGGUAGCCGGCCUGAGAGGGUGGACGGCCACAUUGGGACUGAGAUACGGCCCAGACUCCUACGGGAGGCAGCAGUGGGGAAUAUUGCACAAUGGGCGGAAGCCUGAGGCAGCGACGCCGCGUGGGGGAUGACGGCCUUCGGGUUGUAAACUCCUUUCGACCGCGAGGAAGCCACCUGGUUGGAAGGGUGGUGACGGUAGUGGUAGAAGAAGCACCGGCUAACUACGUG
Molecule: ribosomal RNA, 494 nt
Filed under: uncultured bacterium
Lineage: Bacteria
Description: partial 16S ribosomal RNA
Rfam family: Bacterial small subunit ribosomal RNA
Source: RNAcentral